UACUAUUUUAUUAAUUAGAAAAAAGAAAAAUAUCCUAUAAAUUAGCACAAAACGUAUACAACCAUGAACCAACCAUCUUCUUCUAAACCUAGACCCAAUUUUCCUUUGAACGCCGAUCAGCCUUCUAUCUCGUUCAUAUUUUUUUUUCUCAUGUAAUACCACAUGCCGGAGACCAGACGACUAAGCCUUUCUGAGGAACAAACAAUUAGUACAGUUUCGAGGCAAGCAAGAACUGAGAUUGGAAUCAAUUGGGUCCCAAACAUGAGAACAUAGCCAUAUAAAGUGACACGUAUAUGUGAGAUUACAACCACUCUCAUUCUACAUGGCCUUCCAAGGUAUUGCUUUUGGUGAAUGGCGACACAUGCCUUUUUUUUUUUUUUAUCUAUAUCUAUAUAAUUAAAUAAUUAAAUAAUAUAUAUCAUUAGGUUUCUUAUUGGGACAAUCUUGACAGAUUCUAAAGCUGUAUAAAUCUGGCAAGAUGUCUUUAUAUAUGUAUGUGAUUAAGUAUAUUUGCUUAACUGGUAAUCGAUUAGAAUAAAUUAAAAUUUUUUAAUGUCUAACACAUUCUAUUAAAAUUUAUAGUUUAAAGUUGAUUAUGUUUUUUUUUGUGGAUAUAAAUUUUGAAGAAGCAGCCAUUGAUGUUGAAAAAGAGAAAACAUAGAGAACGAGAGUAUUUUAGCAGAACGUAUUCUGCCAGAUUGUAUUCUUUCAAAAUAGAUUAGUGUUCUGUUUUUGGAUUUUGAUGUUUUUAUUUUUAUUUUUUUAACCAUUAUUGGUUUUAAUCUUUAAGAAUAAAUGUAAUUCUUAAACCAUUAUUAAUCAUUUUUUUUUUCAGAA
Lactuca sativa (garden lettuce) is the source of this 837-nucleotide non-coding RNA. Lineage: Eukaryota; Viridiplantae; Streptophyta; Magnoliopsida; Asterales; Asteraceae. The record is from RefSeq and is a predicted model, not a curated record.